This 177-nucleotide non-coding RNA is filed under the name Anaerovibrio lipolyticus. The record is from RNAcentral. Lineage: Bacteria; Bacillati; Bacillota; Negativicutes; Selenomonadales; Selenomonadaceae.
CAAUAUAAUAAAGGGUUAGGUGUCGCAAGACUUAAUAGAAAAGUCGGUUAAAUGCCGGCGCGGUCACGCCACUGUAUCGGGGAGCGAAUCUGCACGCAAUGCCACUGGGGAAACCUGGGAAGGAGCGGAGGAGCCAUGAUCCGGAGCCAGGAGAACUGCCUAAUUAACAAUCACCGU